This 497-nucleotide ribosomal RNA is filed under the name uncultured bacterium. Its description in RNAcentral is "partial 16S ribosomal RNA". It matches the Rfam family "Bacterial small subunit ribosomal RNA", at positions 899 to 1397 of the family's 1533-position model. The record is from RNAcentral.
ACUCAAAUGAAUUGACGGGGGCCCGCACAAGCGGCGGAGCAUGUGGCUUAAUUCGAUGCGACGCGAAGAACCUUACCUGGGCUGAACUACGCGGGAAAAGCCGUAGAGAUACGGUGUCCGUAAGGGUCCGCGAUAGGUGGUGCAUGGCUGUCGUCAGCUCGUGUCGUGAGAUGUUGGGUUAAGUCCCGCAACGAGCGCAACCCUUGUCCUAUGUUGCCAGCGGGUAAUGCCGGGGACUCGUAGGAGACUGCCGGGGUCAACUCGGAGGAAGGUGGGGAUGACGUCAAGUCAUCAUGCCCCUUAUGUCCAGGGCUGCACACAUGCUACAAUGGCCGGUACAAAGGGCUGCUAUUCCGCGAGGAUGAGCGAAUCCCAGAAAGCCGGUCUCAGUUCGGAUUGGAGUCUGCAACUCGACUCCAUGAAGUCGGAGUCGCUAGUAAUCCCGAAUCAGCAACGUCGGGGUGAAUACGUUCCCGGGCCUUGUACACACCGCCCGU